GAUGAACGCUAGCUACAGGCUUAACACAUGCAAGUCGAGGGGAAACGACAUUGAAGCUUGCUUCGAUGGUCGUCGACCGGCGCACGGGUGAGUAAUGCGUAUCCAACCUGCCUCUGACCAAGGGAUAACCCGUCGAAAGUCGGCCUAAUACCUUAUGCAGUCGUCGGAAGUCAUCUGAUGACGACGAAAGAUUUCAUCGGUGAGAGAUGGGGAUGCGUCUGAUUAGCUUGUUGGCGGGGUAACGGCCCACCAAGGCAACGAUCAGGAGGGGUUCUGAGAGGAAGGUCCCCCACAUUGGAACUGAGACACAGUCCACACUCCUACGGGAGGCAGCAGUGAGGAAUAUUGGGCAAUGGGCGAUGGCCUGAACCAGCCAAGCAGCGUGCAGGAUGACGGCCCUAUGGGUUGUAAACUGCUUUUAUGCGGGGAUAAAGUGAGGGACGAGUCCUUCAUUGAAGGUACCGAAUGAAUAAGGACCGGCUAACUCCGUG
This 491-nucleotide ribosomal RNA is filed under the name uncultured bacterium. RNAcentral describes it as "partial 16S ribosomal RNA". It matches the Rfam family "Bacterial small subunit ribosomal RNA", at positions 28 to 507 of the family's 1533-position model. The record is from RNAcentral.